GGCACUGUAUGGUAUCUGCAGCCAGCUGCUCCGUCAGCUGCUCUGUUCAAAAGUCAGUGCUAGACGAACUCAGCAUGUGGCAUCGUUGGUCUCCAUGCUGCCUGUGUUUGGAGGCCUGGUUUUUGUUGUUGAAACAUGC
Molecule: small nucleolar RNA, 139 nt
Organism: Monopterus albus (swamp eel)
Lineage: Eukaryota; Metazoa; Chordata; Actinopteri; Synbranchiformes; Synbranchidae
Source: Ensembl